AUUUAGUUGACGAGUCCCAAAUAGGACGAAACGUACGUCCUGAAU
This 45-nucleotide non-coding RNA is filed under the name Schistosoma mattheei. Lineage: Eukaryota; Metazoa; Platyhelminthes; Trematoda; Strigeidida; Schistosomatidae. The record is from RNAcentral.